RNAcentral lists this ribosomal RNA (459 nucleotides) under Variovorax paradoxus. Its description in RNAcentral is "bacterial SSU rRNA". It matches the Rfam family "Bacterial small subunit ribosomal RNA", at positions 67 to 521 of the family's 1533-position model. Lineage: Bacteria; Pseudomonadati; Pseudomonadota; Betaproteobacteria; Burkholderiales; Comamonadaceae. The record is from RNAcentral.
CGGCAGCGCGGGAGCAAUCCUGGCGGCGAGUGGCGAACGGGUGAGUAAUACAUCGGAACGUGCCCAAUCGUGGGGGAUAACGCAGCGAAAGCUGUGCUAAUACCGCAUACGAUCUACGGAUGAAAGCAGGGGAUCGCAAGACCUUGCGCGAAUGGAGCGGCCGAUGGCAGAUUAGGUAGUUGGUGAGGUAAAGGCUCACCAAGCCUUCGAUCUGUAGCUGGUCUGAGAGGACGACCAGCCACACUGGGACUGAGACACGGCCCAGACUCCUACGGGAGGCAGCAGUGGGGAAUUUUGGACAAUGGGCGAAAGCCUGAUCCAGCCAUGCCGCGUGCAGGAUGAAGGCCUUCGGGUUGUAAACUGCUUUUGUACGGAACGAAACGGCCUUUUCUAAUAAAGAGGGCUAAUGACGGUACCGUAAGAAUAAGCACCGGCUAACUACGUGCCAGCAGCCGCGGU